UCCCUAAAAGACCAUCCCAGUUCGGAUCGCAGGCUGCAACCCGCCUGCGUGAAGUUGGAAUCGCUAGUAAUCGCGGAUCAGCAUGCCGCGGUGAAUACGUUCCCGGGCCUUGUACACACCGCCCGUCACACCAUGAGAGUCGGGAACACCCGAAGUCCGUAGCCUAACCGCAAGGGGGGCGCGGCCGAAGGUGGGUUCGAUAAUUGGGGUGAAGUCGUAACAAGGUAGC
RNAcentral lists this ribosomal RNA (229 nucleotides) under uncultured bacterium. RNAcentral's name for it is "partial 16S ribosomal RNA". It matches the Rfam family "Bacterial small subunit ribosomal RNA", at positions 1272 to 1500 of the family's 1533-position model. The record is from RNAcentral.